This 399-nucleotide unclassified non-coding RNA is filed under the name soil metagenome. RNAcentral's name for it is "partial contains 5.8S ribosomal RNA, internal transcribed spacer 2, and large subunit ribosomal RNA". The stretch from base 1 to 122 matches the Rfam family "5.8S ribosomal RNA", at positions 35 to 154 of the family's 154-position model. The record is from RNAcentral.
GAUGAAGAACGCAGCGAAAUGCGAUACUUGGUGUGAAUUGCAGAAUCCCGUGAACCAUCGAGUUUUUGAACGCAAGUUGCGCCCGAUGCCAUUAGGUUGAGGGCACGUCUGCCUGGGUGUCACAUAUCGAAUCCCCUUGCCAAUUUCCUAUUUAUUAGGUAUUGCGUGCAGGGUGAAUAUGUUGGCCUCCCGUGAGCUCUGUCUCGUGGUUGGUUGAAAAUUGAGACCUUGGUAGGGUGUGCCAUGAUAGAUGGUGGAUGUGUGACCCACGAGACCAAAUCAUGUGCAGCUCUAUUGAACGUGGACUCUUUUACCCACAUGUGUUUUAUAACGCUCGUGAUGAGACCUCAGGUCAGGCGGGGCUACCCGCUGAAUUUAAGCAUAUCAAUAAGCGGAGGA